Molecule: unclassified non-coding RNA, 450 nt
Filed under: Takhtajaniantha austriaca
Lineage: Eukaryota; Viridiplantae; Streptophyta; Magnoliopsida; Asterales; Asteraceae
Description: Scorzonera austriaca partial external transcribed spacer
Source: RNAcentral
CUACUUGCGUAGCAACUUCCUUGCGUGCUUACCUCUUCAAUUGUGCUACAAGCCCUUGUUUGGCUUGGAUCAUUUAGUGGGUUUCCUGUGUUGCAUACCUMAUUUAUGGUAUUGUUGGCUCUAUAGAAGUUUGAUUUCAUAAUGCGUUGCUUGCAGCGUGAUAUGAACCAUGAAGCUGCCUCCGUUGUCCAACCAGUCGUUGCUUAUGCAUCGAUGGCAUGGCCCAUGGAGUGUUGCUUGGUCUCUUGGAUAUGGAACAUCAUGUGGGCACAGGUCUUCGCAGACCAUGUCUUUGCCCUUGUUGAGCAUUGUAGCUUCUUUGAAUGACCGUCCACUUCGCAGACCGAUUGGUGUGUUGUGGAUUGUGUCGUAGAGGAGUGCUCCUAGCUUCUUCGAAUGACCGUCCACUUCGCAGACCGAUUGGUGUGUUGUGGAUUGUGUCGUAGAGGU